This 497-nucleotide ribosomal RNA is filed under the name uncultured bacterium. Its description in RNAcentral is "partial 16S ribosomal RNA". It matches the Rfam family "Bacterial small subunit ribosomal RNA", at positions 28 to 507 of the family's 1533-position model. The record is from RNAcentral.
GAUGAACGCUGGCGGCGUGCCUAAUACAUGCGAGUCGAGCGAACAGACGAGGAGCUUGCUCCUCUGACGUUAGCGGCGGACGGGUGAGUAACACGUGGAUAACCUACCUAUAAGACUGGGAUAACUUCGGGAAACCGGAGCUAAUACCGGAUAAUAUAUUGAACCGCAUGGUUCAGUAGUGAAAGACGGUUUUGCUGUCCCUUAUAGAUGGAUCCGCGCCGCAUUAGCUAGCUGGUAAGGUAACGGCUUACCAAGGCAACGAUGCGUAGCCGACCUGAGAGGGUGAUCGGCCACACUGGAACUGAGACACGGUCCAGACUCCUACGGGAGGCAGCAGUAGGGAAUCUUCCGCAAUGGGCGAAAGCCUGACGGAGCAACGCCGCGUGAGUGAUGAAGGUCUUCGGAUCGUAAAGCUCUGUUAUUAGGGAAGAACAAGUGUGUAAGUAACUAUGCACGUCUUGACGGUACCUAAUCAGAAAGCCACGGCUAACUACGUG